AAUGCAAGCCGCCCUGUCGCUCGUUAUACGGGAGGAAAGUCCGGGCAGCAUAGAGCAGCGCACUUCCUAACGGGAAGGAUCCUGAUUUCGAUCGGGGUACAGAAAGUGCCACAGAAAACAAACUACCUCAAUUUCGAUUGAGGAAAAGGUGAAAAGGCGGGGUAAGAGCCCACCGCUCUUCGGGGUGACCCGGGAGGCAUGGUAAACCUUGCGCGCUGAAAGGCCAAAUAAGUCCGGCCCAGAGGGCGGCUCGUCCAAUGUUCUUCGGAACGGACCGGAUGGGUAGGCUGAUAGAUCCUGGUGGUGACGCCAGGACCAGAUAAAUGACAGGGCUGACGGCGAAAGCCGGCAGACAGAACCCGGCUUACAGGCUUGUAUUAUCU
This 383-nucleotide RNase P RNA is filed under the name Fulvivirga sedimenti. RNAcentral describes it as "Bacterial RNase P class A". It matches the Rfam family "Bacterial RNase P class A". From Rfam's summary of the family: Ribonuclease P (RNase P) is a ubiquitous endoribonuclease, found in archaea, bacteria and eukarya as well as chloroplasts and mitochondria. Its best characterised activity is the generation of mature 5'-ends of tRNAs by cleaving the 5'-leader elements of precursor-tRNAs. The record is from Rfam by way of RNAcentral. Lineage: Bacteria; Pseudomonadati; Bacteroidota; Cytophagia; Cytophagales; Fulvivirgaceae.